Molecule: long non-coding RNA, 768 nt
Organism: Alligator mississippiensis (American alligator)
Lineage: Eukaryota; Metazoa; Chordata; Crocodylia; Alligatoridae
Exons: 3
Source: RefSeq, a predicted model, not a curated record
GUAGGGUGGAGCCAGCUGGCAAGAAGCUCUGCAGCUCAUAAAACUGAGGCCUGAGAGCUAGCAAGGCAGACUGGGCCCUGCAGGCUAUAGAGAAAGGAGUUCCCUGUGUGGGGUGGCUGGCAACCAAAUGGUGCCAGAGAACUGAGAGAGGAAAACCUAAGGGGGACUUUCAGUUUGUGGAGAGGUAUUGACACAUGGUGGGAGGGGAUUUUUGUUUUACAGCAGUUGGGCUUGUGUUCAUUUUGAUUAGUUUUCCAAAGGACUGGAUUCUGGCUACAAGAAAGAAUUCACUUAUUGGCAUGGAGUAGAGAAAGUAGCUGAAUGCUGGUAAGAGCUUAUCCCAGGCUAUCUAUUUGUUUAAGUCCAACGGACUACCAGGUCUUCCAUGCAGCUACUCCAAGAUAGCUACAGACCCAUUCAUUCUGGAUCCCACCAUAAUUUACACUGGUGAAUAAAAUCAAAGUACUGAACACCAAUAUAAACAUAUUGUGUGUAGAAACCCUGAGGAGAAGGGAACCUCUUUUCAAGUGAUUACAUGGUGGCAUGGGAUAGAGGACAAAAUGGACAUACUUACACCUCUAGAUGGGAGGCAGUUGUAGCUUCAAAACGAGGGAAUACAAGUAGUCAUUUAAAUGCUCACAUACAGUUUUUUUUCUGAGAGACCUUACUGUCCAAUGGGGGCAAUUUCGAACAAUUUUUAAAAAAUGGCCAUCGAUUUAAAUAUAUGUAUAUAUGUAAGAGUAAAGAUUUUUUUUUUUUUUUUGGUAA